Molecule: unclassified non-coding RNA, 226 nt
Filed under: Glomeraceae sp.
Lineage: Eukaryota; Fungi; Glomeromycota; Glomeromycetes; Glomerales; Glomeraceae
Description: partial contains 5.8S ribosomal RNA and internal transcribed spacer 2
Rfam family: 5.8S ribosomal RNA (bases 1-71)
Source: RNAcentral
GUGAAUCAUCGAAUUUUUGAACGCAAAUUGCGCUUCCUGGUAUGCCGAGAAGUAUGCCUGUUUGAGGGUCAGUAUUAACAAAAAAUUGGCUUGGUUGCAAAUUGUGACGUUUCCGGAGUUUGGGCUUAUCUUAACUUUUUUGGAUAAGGAGCUUAAAAUUGACCUUUUCUGCGCAUUUUUACACGAAUAUAAUUUUUUUUUCUUCUGUCUUUUCUUACUGCAAACU